GCAAACUUGGUCAUUUAGAGGAAGUAAAAGUCGUAACAAGGUUUCCGUAGGUGAACCUGCGGAAGGAUCAUUAUCAAUCUUAGCGAAACCUUUCUAGGGUCUUCGCGUAUAUACUUAAAACCAACUCUUAUGAAUCAAAUAAUGAUUUUUCUAUUAAGUAAAUUAAGAAAGAUCACUUUCAACAACGGAUCUCUUGGCUCUCGCAUCGUCAGAUGUGUAUAAGAGACAGGCAAACUUGGUCAUUUAGAGGAAGUAAAAGUCGUAACAAGGUUUCCGUAGGUGAACCUGCGGAAGGAUCAUUAUCAAUCUUAGCGAAACCUUUCUAGGGUCUUCGCGUAUAUACUUAAAACCAACUCUUAUGAAUCAAAUAAUGAUUUUUCUAUUAAGUAAAUUAAGAAAGAUCACUUUCAACAACGGAUCUCUUGGCUCUCGCAUCGAUGAAGAACGCAGC
This 451-nucleotide unclassified non-coding RNA is filed under the name uncultured fungus. Its description in RNAcentral is "partial contains small subunit ribosomal RNA, internal transcribed spacer 1, and 5.8S ribosomal RNA". The stretch from base 1 to 73 matches the Rfam family "Eukaryotic small subunit ribosomal RNA", at positions 1759 to 1831 of the family's 1831-position model. The record is from RNAcentral. Lineage: Eukaryota; Fungi.